AUCUUGCCUCACUUUGAGUGCAACAGGCAACCCAUUAUUGUACGCUGACGCUAUCCCCAGCGCGGCCGCGUAAACAUCAGUUAGCAGCUUUGCAUAAUUCAUGCAACACCCUGCCUUAUCUCCACCUCCUCUUAGCAAUGAUAGCGUAUGACAGCGCAGGGCACGGGGGUCGGUGAGGGUCUGCACGGCAGGUGGCCGCCGGGAACCUUCCUGUUUCUGAAGCAAUCGGCCUCUGGCAACGGUUGACCUCGUAACACGCGCGCUCACACUCAUACAUACUAACCAAUAGUGUGUCAGCCAUGGCAGUGUAGCAACCCAGGGAGCAUGUCCAACAUGCUGAGUCAACAACAAGGGGAGCUCGAGUGGCAGAGAGGACGGCGGCCUCGGGGGCCUGCUCGCGAUGUAGCUAUGUCACUGCACAAAGCGGCGUUGACAGGCCGAGUAGAUAAAACACAGGCGCUAGAAUUUAAAAAAAUUAAAAAAAAAUCACGUAUCCUCGUAAGCGAGGGCUGCUCAGUAUUCCUGACUGGACAUGCACGAAACCCAAGGAGUAGGGCUUUUUCAGCUUAUUGUCCUUUAGUGAAAACAGCACAUGUGGUCAGACUUUAGAGCGUAAAGUUGCAGAGAAAGGAAAAAAAAAAAAAAGAGUGUGCAUCUCCACAAAGUCAGCCAUUUAUCUGGUGGAAGUACUGUAAAUCUGUACAUAUGUAUAUAAAUGCAUAUAUAUGAAUAAGAUCAGAGGAAAGGUGGCUUGUUUUCGAAUCCGCGACAUUGUAAAGCCACCUGGAAACAUUUGCUCAUUAACAUUUAAGGACGUUGAAAAUGAAAAUAUUUCACAUUCAAUCUCUCACUCGGCUCUUUUGCAGAAAACCCCCCCCAAAAUAAACUAAAACGAGCAUGUGAUGUGAGUGAACAGACUAUAAAUAACAACCUGGCAGAAGGAAGAGGGGAAGAAAAAACAAAAGCAAAGCUUCUUCCAGCUACACGAAUCAACAACGAUAAGUCCACCAGCAGUCAUUUGUCUUCUGUCGAAAUUGGUGUUGAAGCCUCCUUCCCAUUCUUAUCACACUUGGCAGUUUGUGUUAUGUUUAUAUGCAGUUAUACAGUGAGUGCCCUUCUC
Long non-coding RNA from Astatotilapia calliptera (eastern happy), 1120 nucleotides. The record is from Ensembl. NCBI's taxonomy places the organism in Eukaryota, Metazoa, Chordata, Actinopteri, Cichliformes, Cichlidae.